AAGAUUCCUGAAGUUUUGGGUUUAGCAAGGACUGAAUCAAAGCUGUUACUUUUGAUUUUUGCUGCCUUCUCUCUCGCCUCUCGCUUGCAUUGCUGAAAUCCUCACUUUAUUUUUGCUUUGUUAUGAUAUCCAGGUACUUCUUGGACCAUGAAUGACCUGUGAAUGUGAGCAUGUUUUUCCAUUUGAAAUAUGUAACUGAAAAUGUAAAAAUCUAAUGCUAAAUGUUGCCUUUUAAUUUUAUUCAUAUGUGUUCUUCCAAGUUCAUCUAGCCUCUUUAUUAGUUUUAGCUUUCUGCAGCUCUUAUGUAGUUUGUUCUAGGAUUUGUUUGAUGGCCACUCGCUUAGUGGGAAAUGUUAUACGUGAG
This 364-nucleotide long non-coding RNA is filed under the name Nicotiana benthamiana. RNAcentral's name for it is "long non-coding RNA (NBEN_LNC033180)". The record is from RNAcentral. Lineage: Eukaryota; Viridiplantae; Streptophyta; Magnoliopsida; Solanales; Solanaceae.